RNAcentral lists this ribosomal RNA (253 nucleotides) under uncultured bacterium. Its description in RNAcentral is "partial 16S ribosomal RNA". It matches the Rfam family "Bacterial small subunit ribosomal RNA", at positions 524 to 776 of the family's 1533-position model. The record is from RNAcentral.
UACGUAGGGGGCAAACGUUGCUCGGAAUCACUGGGCAUAAAGCGCACGUAGGUGGCGCGGUAAGUCUGAUGUGAAAUCCCCCAGCUCAACUGGGGAACUGCGUUGGAUACUGCCGUGCUUGAGGGUUGUAGGGGAGACAGGAACUCCUGGUGUAGCGGUGAAAUGCGUAGAUAUCAGGAGGAACGCCGGUGGCGAAAGCGUGUCUCUGGGCAACUCCUGACACUGAGGUGCGAAAGCUAGGGGAGCAAACGGG